Molecule: non-coding RNA, 5966 nt
Organism: Phalacrocorax carbo (great cormorant)
Lineage: Eukaryota; Metazoa; Chordata; Aves; Suliformes; Phalacrocoracidae
Source: RefSeq, a predicted model, not a curated record
CCUGCUACAGGCUUGCCUGCUGAUCACUGGACCACAGCUGACCCUGGUCAUUGCCACUGGAACUGCUCCGCCCUACUUGUUGAGAGAAGGCUGCUCCUGCUGCUUCCUGACACAUGGACAGCCAGGUGCAGGAAUAAGAAGGGAAGAGGAGGAAGUGCAGCAUGCUUGAGGUUCACCCAAAUCAAGAGCUGGACAUUGCUGGUCAAAGAGCUCAGAAGUACUCUUGGCUCUGACAAUUUAGUCAUUCUCAGAAUCAGCUAAACAAAGAUGCAGCUGGGUAGGUUUGCAGCCUACAAAUUAAGACUGAUUGUUACUGACGAAUAAAAUCCUGCAGUGGGAGAAGGCUUAGAGGAGAUGGGCAAGGAGAUGUGCCCAUGAAGCUCAGGAAACAAUGCAGGGUGUGACUGACCACAGCUUUUGCGAAGAAGCUGGCUUACCUCAACACCAAGGGGACCAGGCAGUGGCCUUUGUUUUAGUCUUUUCUCAGGUCAACAUGCUUCUGUGCCAGAUUCCUCAGCAACUGAUGAGAAUGCCUUGCUAAGGAUAGUAUGAUGAGAAGCCUUUGUAAAAAGAGAUAUGACUAUAUGUAGAUUAUUAUUUUCUAAGAUAAACCACGUGUUGUGGUCAGAAGAAAGGAUAUGGUUUAACCAGGUAGUUUAACUUCAUUGCUUUGCUUUUGCAAGACUGAAUAAAUUCUAUCAAUGUCAAUACUGUUUGUAUAGAGACUCAUAGCCACUGGAGAGAACGAAGAGAGCACCUGCCAAUAAAGUUCUCAUUAAUGUGCAGGUAAAUAAAAUUACUUCAUGUAAAACCCUCUUCUAUGAUUUUUAAUAAUAGCCUUGCCAUUAGGAAAGUCACUGUCCUAGUGCUUUUAUCAAAGUUAAAGCAGAAGUUCAGCCAUUCUGCAUUUUUCAAGAAUUACCUCAAAGCAGAUAAAAAUUAGCAUUGUUUGGCUUCUCCUCCUGUAGUUGAGAUCCUGUGAGCAGCAAGAGAGAUUUUAUUAGAAGUAUUAUAGGUGAGGGAAGCCGCAGUUUGAGCGAGCUGUAGGGCAGCUGCAGAAAGGACUGGCAUCCUAUGGAGAACCAUUACUGAGCAGCCCUCUGUUUUGAAAGCUAGCAAGAGAAAACUAAGGCUAGACUAAAGAAUAUGUGGGUUUUCUGGGGCUGAAGAGGUGAGAGAAGCUGCAGUGCCUGAGACAGACAAGCUAUCAGUUCCAAAAAUAAGUUUAUACCUGUUACCUAGACCGUUCCUCCAUUAUUUGUUAUCCUAUGAAUUAAAGGUCAUAUUCUAAGUGGAGCUGACAGCUACUGUGAGAUAUAUUACCUGAAGUACAUAGACUGAGAAAAUGAAACAUUCAUUUGUCCUUAAUAAUCACAUUGUAAAUGAAUGGAAAGCUCAUUAAAUGAAUCUAUUUCCUGUCAAACCUACUGUGGACGUUUGCAUAAGCCGUAUCAGGGUUUUCUAUGACUUCCAUGUGAUGUUUAUUCAGCAAACAGGCCCAGUAUCUUUUCUGCAUUAUCAGUGGCUGAGAUGCAUCCAGUCUGUGAAACUCACUUUGUAAUCUUCCAUCAGUGUGCAGUGUUCCAGGUCUCCUCUGACUGUGGACAGAUUUUUGUGCCUGCUUUUAGCUUUGGCCCUCCAACGCUUGCCCUGUUGUAAGCCGAGUUAAAUAGGUACAAAAGGUGCCUGAAAAAAAGGAGGAAAACUGCGUAACAAAAUUUAUUGCCAAAGUGUAAAGGCUGAGCACAAAGCUGCAGUCAUCAAUGAACAGGUCAAGGAGGUUUAAACUUUUUACAGUUGUCUGAAAAGUGGGUAAUAUUACAGAGGAGACACUUAUGGAAAAGAACUAGGUGUCAGAAUAUUUCCUGGUUUUAUAGGCUACCUGUAGUCAGUGAUCUGUCAUUGGUUUGGUGAAGAUAAAACCAAUGGUCACAUCGUUAAAGUCACAGACGUUUACAUAGGUGAAAACUGCAUCAUCCUUUUUGAAAUAUCCACUGAGUUUUAUUAAUUUUUCAGUUCAGUAGCUCUGAAGCUUUUUGUGGGCUCCAGCUCAGAGGCUUGCAAUUCCCUUAUAUUUUUCUGACAGUUUAUUUUGAUAUUGGUGGUUGUUGAUGAUUGGCUUUUUGGUUUCAGUCUUUGUUUUUCUUUCUUUAAUCCAUGAGGUCAUUGACAAAGGAUUCCAGAGUUUGUGUGAGAACUGAAGAUCCUCAGAUGCAUACAGCUGUAAUGGAAAUCCCUUUGAAUUAAAGGAAUUGAAAAAAAUAGGUUGCUUAAUUGGGUGGGAGUAAAAAAGAAUAUUAAUGAUAUUACAAUAGUCAGGAAACAGGAACAAUUGCUGAUCUGGAGGGCUGCCCAGCACUUUCCUUAGGUGUUUCCUUCUUUAGGUGACAAUAUCCAAAACAGCUGUGAAAGUCUAAGGCACAGUCAGUACCUAAGUGGAAGAAAGAAAAUUACUUUAAAAUCUUAUUUUGUAACGUCUUAUUUGAUUUUUUUUGUCAUUGAAAAUAUUCAGGCUCAUCUUCUGAACUUUGUGAUUAAAACCAGAGACCAUAUCUGAUUAAGAAUUAUCUCUUCUCUCUUAUCAGUUCUUCUGGGGAAAGAAUAUAUUGAGUUCUCCUUUCCAAACAUUGUUUUUUCUUCAAGCCUGGUAUCUGAGAUCCAGAGGGGAUGAAUUUCCAGAAGGAAAAGGGAGAAGGAAAGCAUAGUGUUUCAAUACACUUAAAGAUGUUUCAUUAUCAUGAUAAAAGCACUCUGUAAACAUGAGAUUUUCUUGACUCACUCAGACAUCUCCAAUUAAUACAUUUUAUAGCUGUAUUUUGUCUCAUUCAGACCAGAUGCUGGCACAAUACCAUGCACUCAGAAUCUAACAAAACUGGUCAUGGAAGCGGUAGUUCAAAUUCUUCAAGCUUUCCUUUAUCUUGGAACAAGCCUAUAAAAUUCCUUUUUCCUCAGUGCCUGAUAAUACCAGUCAAAUUAAUAUAUUUUUUCUUGUAUUUAUUUUUUUCUCAAAUCCAUAAUUGGCAUAAAGGCAGUUAAAAUACCUUUUUUUUCUUUCUGAGCAGUACAGUCAUUAGCAAUUUUAAAGGAAUGUAUGUUUAACUUCUAAAUGUUUCCAGUCUGAUAUGUUUAUUCUCAAGGUUGUAAAAACCCAUACUUGUGAAGAGAGAGUUGAAUGUUAACAGCUGUCUUAAUACCAAAAUUCCAUUUUUAUUACAACAUAAGCCUAGUGUUCUGAAACCGAGGCAAUCCGUAGAAGAGCAAUCCUUCCGCACAAACUCCCGGAGGGGGAGGUUUCUAAAACAUGAACCAAAAUCAUAGGAGGCUCACUGGAAUAGGGCAGGCCUGCCCAUUGCUCCGUAUAAGCAAACAAGGUAGAGACUCGGAGGCUUUAUUUGGCAAGGUGCUCAUGCCUUGCAUUGCUGUUGUUUUCAGCAGAAGUAGUAGAUCCUCCACACUGUGUACAGGUGGGAUCGUAUCACUUAAGAGGCUGAAAAUCUAUGGAAAUUGUUAUUGUUUAGUGUGAUAUUCUACAGACCCAUUGCCCAGUCUUCAUAGUAGCUCUAGCAACUAUGUGAAAUGACACGUCUGAUAAGUUAUUUCCUCAGAAUAAUAUCUUCUGAUUUUUUUUCAAUGUUCACUUUAGAUAUUUGGAAUUAACAUUGCAUAGUCAUUCCUCAUUAUUAUUGCCACUUCUGUGAAGUAUUAGAAAAGGAUAAAUGCAAGGAUGCUGAAAAUCUGAAGAUCCCUUUUGCUAGACCCUUUAUGACUUUCUCAUCAUUUGCUAGGUUAUGAAUACCUCUGACUUACAAUAAUACCUUUACAACACCACCUUUGUCGGUGUUGUCAUGAUGUUAUUUUGACUUUGGUGUGGGGAAUUCUUUUUGCUGAUGUAAGUGUAGUUUGCGGAGAUUGUAUGAUGAAUGUAUGCUUUAAUGAUCCAUGCUAAUAAUAUAAUGAAUUAUUGUAAGACAGUAUCGCCUCCUUUCUAUGUAUAACAAUCAAACAGUGGAACCCCAAACAUCAUUUGGCUUUGAUUCAUGUUAACUGUUCCUUUUCUUAAUAUAAUUUUAAUCGCACUAUCAGUCUAAGAAAUAUGGAAAUCAAAACUAGGAACUCACAUUGCGACAACAAUUAUGUCUGUUUUAAUGAAAUAUAAAAGAAGAGUGAAGAGUGCAAGAAAACUUGUAAAGCAUCCUAUUUAUAUUACCAUAUAUAUUAUCCCAUUUUCAGAAAAGUAUGUAAAUGCAAUUAGGUGCAGUCAUUUCACAGAUACAAACAGCAUAGAGUUGCAGGUGUUUAUGGCUGACUAUUUCAUUGUCAGUCAGAAAAUAGGCAUGACAAAGUUCUCCUGCUUAUAGAAAUUAAUAUAAAAACAGUAGAAAUGCCUUUUAGUUGCUAAUAACACAGGUAAUUAAGAUUCUGGAAAAUGUCCCAGAGUUCUGGCCAGAACUGUUUUUUUGUGGUAGAAUGGAAUACACCAGUGAAGUCCUGAACAGCCUGCUCUUCAAGUGAGCUGCUAUAUAACUCACAAUCAAAUGGCAUCGCUCAUAGUUAAUUAAAAUAAAUUGUGUUAGCUUUCUGGCAUCUCUUUCUGCACUUCCACAUAGGGUUUCUUGUAACUUCAGUGAAACUAAGAGGGGAGCAGUCUGCCAAGGAAACACUAGAAAUAAGAAGUUCAUAAUAAUAGUGCUAUCUUUAUAUUUAUGAGAGAUACCAAGAGAAAAAAAAUACAAAAGAUAAAGUCUAAAGGAGUAAAAAAAUAGUUUAAGCCUGUUUCUGUUUUCAACUAACUUGUUAAAAGCCAUAAGCAAAACUGACAAAAGUUGCUGGAGGUAUUUGAUUGAAAAUUGUAAAGAUACUGAAAUGGAAAAUUACAGCACUCCUUUUUUAUGUAUACAGUUAAUCUUUGUUUCUCAGUCAAGUACAUGAAAAAAAAAAAAAUCCCUGUGAUUAAAGCAAACUUUCCAGUGAGAUUUUCAGUGUCUGAACCCUGCUGAAUGAUUUAACUAUGGGAUCCAAUCUUGGUCAAACUCUUCCCAUAGUGGUGGGAUUUUCUGGAGCUUUUCAAAGAUACUGGGUAUCCCUGCCAAGAAAAGAAUAAAUGGUGUUGUUAUUAGAGGCCUUUUUUUUCCCUCGUUUUUAUCACAAAUAUAUUUUUGAAGCUCUUCAUUAUCUAUUUUGCUAGUACACUGUUUGAAUGAGUUAUGGCUGAAAGUGCUAUCUAUAAAGAACUUGUGCUCUCAAAGCAGAGAUGACACAGCAGACAAAGGUCCAAAUUCUUCUCAAAGGGCUGUAAGAACUCAGUUUUGUAAAGACCUGACAGACAGAUUGUACCUGCCUAUUACAUUACUGCUCAUCAUCUGGGUCAAUAUAACUGCAUGAUACAUUCCUUUAUUCAGGACAAACCUCUGAUACUUAAGUUGAGCAGUACAACAGGGGUGAGCUCACACCUUAUGUGAGCAUAAGGUGAAAUUUAUCUCAAAUAAAAGGCAGGCCUAAUCAAAGUAAUUAAGGCUCUCUUCAGAGAGGGUCAGUGCAGAGAGACAGGCACCCUUGCCAUCAUUCAUCUCAUCCUAGACUGCUGUCCUAGGAUAAGCACGAUGAAGUCACUCUGGAAAAUUUCAUAGUGGGCUACUGUAAGUCAUUCAUGUGUCUGAGCCCUGAAACAGUUCUUCAGACUGGUCUGCAGCCUGCAGGGUGGAUAAAUUCCACCGAAACAACUGAUCUGUCACACAACUGGUCUGAUGCUCUGUUCCCAAAGUGUCCCUUCAACGUUGUAUUGGGGUGGGUGGACAGAGGUGGCUUAAUGAGUUAUUUCUGGCAUCUGAAGUUACUUCCUGAGGCCCCUUACCCUGUUAUGUCACCAAAAAUCUUGCAUUUCUGUUAGGCAGUAGAUGCAGCCAGACAUUUGAAAGGGGAUGUUCAUCUGCCCAACACACGUGCACUGUCUCAUCAUGUAUCAAGCU